Molecule: long non-coding RNA, 340 nt
Filed under: Androctonus crassicauda
Lineage: Eukaryota; Metazoa; Arthropoda; Arachnida; Scorpiones; Buthidae
Source: RNAcentral
CAUCGUUUGCUUGCAGUGUCACAUGUUUUCAAAUGCAUGUCUGUACACGAAGCAGCAGCGUAGCAUAUUCAUCAUACUUCCCAAGCUUCAUGACGCAGGCUGUACCAUACUGUCAUUUGCUAGCUGUACGAAGCUAGGUUUAAUUGUGCACUCUAUAAGUUUAUAUACGCAAAUAAAAAUAAAAUUAUUACUAUUUAUGAUGACAUGUCAAUAUUAUGAUUACAUGUUACUAUUUUGUCUUUGAAUAGUAGGACUUAUAAUUUGAACAAGUUCUCAAAAUGUAUUUUUAGUCAUUCUAUAAAAUGUUUGAAAUUUUGCAUCAUCUUCUGAUAAUACCCCG